RNAcentral lists this ribosomal RNA (192 nucleotides) under uncultured bacterium. RNAcentral's name for it is "partial 16S ribosomal RNA". It matches the Rfam family "Bacterial small subunit ribosomal RNA", at positions 335 to 524 of the family's 1533-position model. The record is from RNAcentral.
ACUCCUACGGGAGGCAGCAGUGAGGAAUAUUGGUCAAUGGGCGGGAGCCUGAACCAGCCAAGUAGCGUGCAGGAUGACGGCCCUAUGGGUUGUAAACUGCUUUUGAAGGGGAGUAAAGUGAGUGACUUGUCAUUCAUUGCAAGUACCCUUGGAAUAAGGACCGGCUAACUACGUGCCAGCAGCCGCGGUAAU